AUGAACAUCGUCAAGACUUUUUUAAUAUGCACAGUGUUUUCACACAUUAAAACAGAAAUUCAGAUUUUAAUUAACCCAGUGAAUUUGCCUGAAAAUAUGCUCCCUGGAACACAACUAAGUCGUGCUUAUGAUAAAGAUGUGGCUGGAAAGGGAGAUGUCUACCGUUUUCUGAAUAAAACAUAAGAUUUUGCCAUCGAUGCAAGUUCUGGUGUAAUCACUGCUACCAAAAUUUUUAAUUAUGAAACAGAUCCAAUAAGGUUUCUUCUGAUAGUUGAUACUGGGAGGCUCUAUAGACAUGAUUUGACCAUUAAUAUUAUUGAUGUUCCCGAAUCUCCAAACUGUACUGCUGAUCCCAAAUUUUCUUCAGGCACAGCUACCUUAGAAAUUGAUGAGGACUGUCCAUUAUUUCAGUCCAUUUAUAGAGUGACGGCCACAGAUGAGGUCUUCGCAAAUGGUGAUAGGGUGGAUUACACCAUUGAGACACAGUUAUCUGGACCAAAGAAAGGAGCAAACUCUUUUGGAACGGAUCCUAUAAGUGAUGUUGUUAGAUUAAGAGGUGAAGAUCCCCUGGAUUUGGAUACUGGAUAUCAUGUUUUCCACCUUGUACUGAAAGCAACAGAUACAACAGGUCUGUUCUGUCAAGGGACACUAAUUAUCUUGAUUAGAAACAUAAAUGAUGAGAAGCCUCAAUUUGAGCCAUUUCCUUUGGAUUCUAUUAAUGUGACUGAGAAGAAAUCUGUUGGAGAAAUUAUAGCAAGAGUAAAAGCAACAGAUCGAGAUGAAGAUAGCAGUAUCAUUUAUUCCUUUAAGACUCAGCAGAAAAUGUUUGGUUUGGACCCCUUCACAGGAACAAUCACUCUUCUUCAGCCUUUGAAUCUUGACAACCCAAGUAACUCCAAAAUCUACUCUUUGGAAACUGAGGCAACAGAUAAUGGGAAUAAUACCAGCAGCUAUAUGUUUACAGUUUUUGUGGAGAAUGUAGAUGAUCCUAUUUCCUGUGAUCCAAGUUUUUUAACAGGAGCAGGUGUUUCAGUGUCUGUUCCUGAAAACAUUCCUGCAUCUACUUUUAUAUGUAUGAUUCUUUCAAGAGAUCCAGAUCUAGGACAGGAAGUUGAACAUUUCCAUUUAGUGAUUGCUGUGAGAAAUAGGCAAAACCUGUCUGUCUUUGGAGUUAUGCGUUAGCACCAUCAGUAUCAACGUCCAGAAUGUCAGUGAUGAGAGUCCUGUUCUUACAUAUAUACCAGAUGCACCUAUAAAUAUCUAUGAAAAUCUGUCUGUUGGAACAAAGUUGGUCAGGUUGACAGCAACUGAUAGAGACAUAAGGCACUCGGUACAUUAUCAACUUAUAGGGACACAAAAAUAAUUUUCUAUAAAUGAAGAUUCAGGAGAGGUCACACUUGCCUAUCCUUUGGAUUAUGAAGACAUAGCCACACCAAAGUCUUGGGUAUUAUAUUUUAGAGCUUAUGACAAUGAGCGAAUACAUUCAACAACUGGGACAGUCAGUGUUUCUACAAGAUGUAAAUAACAAUCCACCUCAAUGCUCGCAGGAUAUUACCAUAAUUGAACAUCCUGAAAACAUCCCAGUUGAAACUCUUUCUUCUAGUCUCUAACUUGUACAGAUAAGGAUGGAACUGCUCCCAAUAACAAUAUAACGUAUCAUUUGAUUAUGGAUGCCUUUUCAAAUGGAACAUUUACCCUCACAAACAAUGAACUGAGAAUUGGACCUAGACAUCUAGAUUUUGAUAAUGCUAUUUUUGCAGGAAUGCAUUUCAAACAUACAUUGUUUGUGAAAGUGUCUAAUGAAGGAAGUCCUGUACUAUCAACAAUUAUUACACUCAUUGUAAGGGUGAGUCUCAUAAAUGAACUGAAUCCAAUUGGAAGUGCGUCGGCAUUUACCUUCAGUGUAUUUGAAAAUAGUCCAGUUGAUACACUAGUUGGAAAAGUUACAUUUACCGAUGCAGACUGGCCAUUUAAUAAUAUGGAAUAUACCAUUGUUGGAGGCAAUUUGGGAACACCUCCCAAAUUUUACAUUGAACCAGAUACAGGAGUGAUAAAGCUAUUAGAUUCACUAAACAGAGAAAUUGAAUCACAGUACAAGAUAGCUGUAAAAGUAACAGACUUGGACAACGAUGCCAUCCCUGACCCCCUCAGACAGAGAAGUGGUACUGCUCAGGUGACCAUCAAUGUUCUGAAUAUGAAUGAUGAGCCUCCUGUAUGCAAUCCACCACAUUUGGAAACUCAAAUUUAUUCCACUGUUGAGUCCUUUCAUUCAGCUCAACUGUUCAGACAAAGAUUCUCCACAGGAACAUCUGAGCUAUUCAAUUGUAGGAGGAAAUACAAAUAAUCAAUUCACACUUAGGAGACUAGGUGUUAAUCCUCCUUUCUGGCCAUCACACAAAAUUUCCAGUAUGAGGUAUUUCAGUGGGUUCAGAGCCCUAUGACUUUCCAGCUACUUAUUGAAGUCACUGAUGAAUUAGGUGGGAAUAAGCCUAGUCAGCUGUCAGCCACUACAACAGUCAUAAUUCAUGUCCUUCCCUGGACCACAACACAGCCAACUUCUUCCACAAAAACAGCUACAACUACAAUUACUACUUCUGUAUUAAUAAAGAUUUCAUAUUAUUGGAUCCCUGAUAACUGGAUUCCUGCAUUAUUAACAGGAGCUCUUUUUGUGAUGUGCCUCUAUACUGUUGCAUGGUGCCUCUUCAAAGAUUCUCCCAUUUUUUCAAGAUUAUUUCCCCACUGUCACAAACAUCACCAGAGCCAACCAAGUCUCACAACCAAAGGGCCUGGACUGGUACCAAGUGACAGGAAUACAAUAACUAUUUGACAGUAAGACAGGAGAAGUCAAGAUGUUGAACAAUUAAGAAAAGAAUGUGAUGCCAAUGGAAGACACUUGA
Molecule: small RNA, 2897 nt
Filed under: Pan troglodytes (chimpanzee)
Lineage: Eukaryota; Metazoa; Chordata; Mammalia; Primates; Hominidae
Description: transcribed unitary pseudogene
Source: RNAcentral